Molecule: long non-coding RNA, 4046 nt
Organism: Setaria italica (foxtail millet)
Lineage: Eukaryota; Viridiplantae; Streptophyta; Magnoliopsida; Poales; Poaceae
Exons: 2
Source: RefSeq, a predicted model, not a curated record
GGGUCCUUGCUGGUUAAGGAGAGUAGUUGAGCGGUGGAGGUUUGCUUAUGGAUUAUCUGUCCUUUUUUAUUUGUUGUUAUGGUCCUUUUGAUAUCAUAUCGUGGUGGUGUGAGGAUCGCCACCAGACUAAUUAGAAGCUUGACAGUAUGGCCAUUCCUGUUAGCUGGAUCUGCAGAGGCAGCAGGGUGGUGUUUUGGAGGUCGAUUGAGACGUUGACUGGACUGAGUUCAUAGCGCCGGGAGAACCCCAUCGUUUGGAUAUCUCUACCUCUCAGCUCCUUUCUUAUUGGUCCAUUACUCUUAAAUUUCUGUCCGCUGCAAUUCUGAUAUUCGGGCUGGUGGUUCUUCUCCAGCAGUCGGAUUUUAUAUGGAUGGAUGGAUUGGAGGGGGAGUUUGAUUCUGCUUGAGCAAUCGGAACCGUGUGGGGUUCCGUGUGUUUGUUCACUAAUAAGCCUCUCUCCUUCCAACAUACUUCGACAUUUGACUUUCCUCAAGGGCUACCUCUGAUGCUUCGUUAGUAAUUGUGCAGUUUGGGGAGGCAUCACUGCAGAGAUAGGACUUGCAGCUGGAAUUGUCACCAAUUGACCAGGCUUUAUCCCUAUCUUAUCCCUGUGCCUGCAUUGUUUGAUGAAUGUUUCUGCUGUUUAUAAGUGUCAAAUAGAUGGUUACAAUAGAGUGGUCUCUCACUGAUUGCAGAUCGCUAGGUGUUGCACAGGAGCAAUAGGAAGCCGAUUUGAAAUCUCCGCAUCUCUUCAAAACUAACCACCUUCUCCUAUUCCAUUUGAGUUUGUUAAAGUGGCUACCUCAAAGUAGAUAAUGAUCACAGUAUAGUCAUCAUUGCAGGUCACCAGCUUCUCCUAUUCCAUUUGAAAGAACUGAUAGUGGGAAGCGGAAGCGGAAUGUGUUGGGAGUACUUCUAACCUGCUCCUAAUUUUGAGACAACAUGCUAGUUUAUGGAAUUAUGAUAACUUUACUGAGUUGAAAAUCUUGGAUACCCCGUUACGCAGUGGUAAAAGGUUGGGAGCAUACCUGGGAGAUUCAAGCAGCGUGGGGAAUUUUAUAACUACAACUCGUUUACACCUUUAACACUUAACUUGUUUCUGUUUUUAUCUGUUAUAUGCUUUGAGCGUAGCUUUAAUUCCGGUGCUGCUUGCAUUCCUAUGUUCGCAGAUCAUUUAGCUCAACUAAUUGGUUGUCCGUCUGAUCUGGUGAUAAAGUCUGGUUUGGGAUUUCUAUCUGUGGUUUGAUUUUUUUUUUGCUUCACUUCAUUUGGCUUCCGUCUAUGUUUUUGUGCUCGGUUUGUCAUGUGGUUGUUGCAGGGUUAGUUUGGCGUUGGGACUUACCUGUAUCCAAGAACCAGCACUCGAAAUUGGGGGGCAGGUUAGAGUCUAGUGCAUGGUCAUUUUGGUUAUUCUGGUUCCAUUACUUUCAAUGGUUUCAGAUCUGAAUGGUUUGCUGUCCUGGCUCACCAAUGGAUAAUGAUGAUUGCGGAACAAGGUUUGAGACCCUGGAUUUAUUGCAUAAGCUAAUCUCGGCUGUGGUGUUUGUGUUCUUAAGAAUGCAGAUGGGCAUUGGUUGUGGAGAUCGAGCAGUGUAGAGGUUUGGUUAUGGCUGACAGUAGUUUCAUUAUUAUCCUUUACGUGAUUGUAAUGCCAUCAUGAUAUUAUGGGUAGAUGCGAGAUUUGAUUGGAUUCAAUGUUCAAAUAUAUAAGGAUGCUAUUGGAAGUGGUCAAGUGGAUAUUUUCGGAAUUAGCAGACUGCAAAAAUUUAUGAUGCUUAGCCUCUUGACUCCUGAUUUGACUCCUGAUUUGUUUGGUCUGCACAGUUUAAUAUCUGCCUCCAUCUGUUCUGAUCAGUUCCUUCUGUUUUCCAGCCACUUAAAUUUAUAUAUGGAUGCCUAGGAAAUCUUUUGAGCUCCAACAAUUGAAAUUAUAAGGAGGCUUCUAGUACUGUCUACUUAUCAACAACAGUUCUUGCAGUUGUGCUGAGAUACAAUUUCCAACCAUUGUUGGUGCUCCUAUGUCUACUUAUCAACAACAGUUCUUGCAGUUGUGCUGAGAUACAAUUUCCAACCAUUGUUGGUGCUCCUAUGUGCAUGCUCUCCCCUAAGCCAGGCCUAUCCCUAUCCCAUUCUCCAUUUAAUUUACCUUGAUAAGUUCAGUCUGAUACAUCUUCAAAAUUCUGGCACCUUCACUUGCUGACCAGAGAACUUACGAUAGCAGAUACUGAUGUACAGCUUAAUUACUUGGACUGACCUGCAUAGGACAUUCUGAAGCUGUUUGGAUGCUCCAAUGCAGUCUCGUGAUUCACAUCCACAAGAAGAUGCUCUUUUCCCAGAGUUUGCCCUUAGUUCUUAUUAUUGUCUACAACAUUACUUCCAGUUCACUUGUUCAAUUUUGGUUGAUGGUUGGUUGGUUGGUCUCCAGUUAUUUGGAGAGUACCAUGCUUAGACGUUCGGAGUGACUUGUAAGAUUUUUCCUCCUAACAAGAGCUCACACUUACUCUUGCUAAUAUCCUGAUUACUACUACUAUUUUGGAUCCAUAUUUAAGUUGAUGGCUGUUUGGUUGGUUCUAUCUUAACUACAUUCUGAGUUUUACCCGAUUUCAUCUGUGGGUUCUUCCAUCCAGUAAUAUACAAUGCUUUGCACAAGCUCGAUUUGGCAGUCACCCUACAUGCCCAUCCGUUGGUGGAAGUUCAAUCUAUUUUGAGUAAGGUCUCAGCUAGAUGUUGGCCCCAUUCAUUUUGCAACUUCAAGCUAAAGAAUCGAGAGAUUAGUCCUUCCUCCUGAACCUUGAUCUGCAACUCCCUCAUUUUGGACUUCCAUCUGGUGCAUUCCCUUUUUUUUUGGAUCAAAACCAGGAAAAGAUAGUGCUUCUUUUGUUCUUGCUAAUAGAGAAUCUGAACUUACGUUGUUUAUCUGAACAAUUAUUGUUGGAACUGGAGCUUCUUUCUGUUUGCUUGCUGUUUGGUCAUUUCUGUGGCAGAGCAAGUGUCAGACUAGAUCUCUAGUAUCUGCAUUGAAUUAGCUACCUGGAUUUCAAUUUCAAGAAUUUGGGCUGAAGCUAUCUGAUUCAAUCUACAGACUGAGGGAGUAGCCCUUCCUCCCGAACCUUGUUAUGCAAUUCCCUCAUUUUGGACUUCCGUCAGCAUUCUAAUUUUGUGGAUCAAAACCAAGAGAAGAUGAUGCUUCUUUUGUUCUCUCCAAAGAAAAAUGUCUGAACUGACACGUCGUUUCACUGAACAAUUGUUGGAACUGGAGUCUUCUUUCUGUUAGCUUGCUGUUUGGUCAUUUCUGUGGCAAAACGAGUGUCAGAUUAGAUCUCUAAUAUCUGCAUUGAGCUAACCACCUGGAUUUCAGUUUCAAGAAUUUGGGUUGAAGUUAUCUGGUUGAGAUCAUUCAAGCUAUAUGUGUUGAUUUGCCCGUGUUUGAAGUGGGAUAUCUUUAUAGCCAAACGGAAGUUUCAGUGUUUGCUUUGACUCUUUUCAGUAAUCAACUGGGUUUGUCCACCUUUGCCUUGUGAACCUAAAUUCUGUGCUUGGUUUCGAUUUGUCAGUUGUACGUAUUGUUUGUAAAGAUGGGGUUGCUUCUGUUUGGUCAUGGACAAAUUAGUGUGUUCAACUUCUAUGUAAAAUAGUGAUCUUAGGUUAGCUACAAACUAGGAUGGUCCAGCUUGCAUUUGAUCAACCGAUCUCCUUGCGCAAAUGAUCCAAGCAACAACAAUACAACAUAGGUGAGGACUAAAGUGUGCAGACUUCUUACUAUGAUUGCAUUAUUUGCACCUAUUGGAGCUGAGAAAUGAGGAUGCUAAAAUGAAGAAUACCAUCAUCAUGAAAUUGUGAUUAGUCAAUAACAAUUACAUUUUUUCUGAUUUUGGAUUGCUAGUUAUGAUAUAGUCUGGAAGCUGGGAGGACUAGUACUUCUACUGGACUUGAGUUGCCAGCUUGCCACCUGUGAUCUGUUGGAUAAUCUGUACAAAUAAAUGUAGCUGAGUGUAUGCAUGCUUAUAGACUAACUUUGCUAUUGAUUUGGACUACUUGAACUUUCC